RNAcentral lists this long non-coding RNA (250 nucleotides) under Ananas comosus (pineapple). RNAcentral describes it as "long non-coding RNA (ACOM_LNC029852)". The record is from RNAcentral. Lineage: Eukaryota; Viridiplantae; Streptophyta; Magnoliopsida; Poales; Bromeliaceae.
AUUAAAUAUUUUAUAUAUUGUAUAAAUAAACAAAAAUAAACUAUGUAUAUAUAUAUAAUUUAUUCGAGUUUGAAUUCGGAUAAUAUUUCGGAUAUCCAUACCUAUUGACAUCGCUACUCCUUAUUUCACUUUUCAAUAUACAAAAAAUACAAAAAAUACGUGCUAAACACGGUGAACCAUUCACCGUGUUUGAACACGGUGAAUGGUUCACCGUGUUCAACUUAACACACGGGCCCAACUCUGCCCGCGU